This 27-nucleotide small RNA is filed under the name Bombyx mori (domestic silkworm). RNAcentral's name for it is "ovarian small RNA-36612". Lineage: Eukaryota; Metazoa; Arthropoda; Insecta; Lepidoptera; Bombycidae. The record is from RNAcentral.
UUACUAAAAGGGUACACUCAUAUGGAA